Molecule: non-coding RNA, 96 nt
Organism: Mycena alexandri
Lineage: Eukaryota; Fungi; Basidiomycota; Agaricomycetes; Agaricales; Mycenaceae
Source: the annotation of a GenBank genome assembly
GACCUGGUGGCGCAACUGGUAACGUGCACAUUUACUGUACGUUGACGACACAUAAUCUUUAAAUGUGAGACCCUCGUUCAAUUCAAGGUCAGGCUG